RNAcentral lists this ribosomal RNA (495 nucleotides) under uncultured bacterium. RNAcentral's name for it is "partial 16S ribosomal RNA". It matches the Rfam family "Bacterial small subunit ribosomal RNA", at positions 28 to 505 of the family's 1533-position model. The record is from RNAcentral.
GAUGAACGCUGGCGGCGUGCCUAAUACAUGCAAGUCGAGCGAACAGACGAGGAGCUUGCUCCUCUGACGUUAGCGGCGGACGGGUGAGUAACACGUGGAUAACCUACCUAUAAGACUGGGAUAACUUCGGGAAACCGGAGCUAAUACCGGAUAAUAUAUUGAACCGCAUGGUUCAAUAGUGAAAGACGGUUUUGCUGUCACUUAUAGAUGGAUCCGCGCCGCAUUAGCUAGUUGGUAAGGUAACGGCUUACCAAGGCAACGAUGCGUAGCCGACCUGAGAGGGUGAUCGGCCACACUGGAACUGAGACACGGUCCAGACUCCUACGGGAGGCAGCAGUAGGGAAUCUUCCGAAAUGGGCGAAAGCCUGACGGAGCAACGCCGCGUGAGUGAUGAAGGUCUUCGGAUCGUAAAACUCUGUUAUUAGGGAAGAACAAAUGUGUAAGUAACUAUGCACGUCUUGACGGUACCUAAUCAGAAAGCCACGGCUAACGACG